RNAcentral lists this ribosomal RNA (460 nucleotides) under uncultured bacterium. RNAcentral describes it as "bacterial SSU rRNA". It matches the Rfam family "Bacterial small subunit ribosomal RNA", at positions 27 to 507 of the family's 1533-position model. The record is from RNAcentral.
GGAUGAACGCUGGCGGCGUGCAUAACACAUUCAAGUCGAACGGACAAGGGCUUCGGCCUGCGUUAGUGGCGGACGGGUGAGUAACGCGUGAGCAACCUGCCUUACAGUACGGGAUAACGUUUGGAAACGACCGCUAAUACCGUAUGAAGCAUCGGAAUCGCAUGUUUCUGAUGCCAAAGAUUUAUUGCUGUAAGAUGGGCUCGCGUCCCAUUAGGUAGUUGGCGGGGGAACGGCCCACCAAGCCUACGAUGGGUAGCCGGACUGAGAGGUUGAACGGCCACAUUGGAACUGAGAAACGGUCCAGACUCCUACGGGAGGCAGCAGUGGGGAAUAUUGGGCAAUGGGGGAAACCCUGACCCAGCGACGCCGCGUGAGGGAAGACGGUCUUCGGAUUGUAAACCUCUGUCGUAAGGGACGAAUAAUGACGGUACCUUACAAGAAAGCCACGGCUAACUACGUG